Felis catus (domestic cat) is the source of this 1104-nucleotide long non-coding RNA. RefSeq lists it as uncharacterized. The record is from RefSeq and is a predicted model, not a curated record. The transcript has 4 exons. NCBI's taxonomy places the organism in Eukaryota, Metazoa, Chordata, Mammalia, Carnivora, Felidae.
UGCCCCCUCUCUGGGCCUGAGGGGGGUGGAUCUGGUCAUUUCUAAGGCAGGACACAGCCCCUUCUCAGGGUCUGAGGGUGAGCAGACCUGGAGGGGGUUUGCAGGAAGCAGUGUUUGGGGGUGGCUGCAGACUGGCAGGAGCAGCUGGAAAUGAGGGCUGAGGUCACUGAGACUGAGGGGCUGCCAGGAGACGCCACCACGUCAGCAGCCACUGCUGGGCCACUGGGCUGGGAGAGUACGUGGGAGCCCCGGACACGGAGGAGGGAGGCCUGGGACGGGAGCAGAGGUUGGAACCAUACAAACCAGAAAGAGGAGAAAGACGGAACAAAACAAAAUACUGACUGUAGAAAAUCAAUUUCUGGUCAGCCUCCCAUUCAUUCAUUCAUUCAUUCAUUCAUUCAUUCAUUUCACACAUUCACUCACUGUUUAUUCACAGAUUUCCUGAGUUCAGGGGCUCUUAGAUCAUUAGAGAGGUUGAGGCCCAAAGUCAGGAGAUGACUGAUUCCAGGUCACAUGGGGAGUUACUGGCAGGUCUAGAACAAACAGCCCAAGCGCCUGCCUUCUCAGUUAUGCCAAACCGCGGUGCAACUGACAGCCAGUUGUGCGCCUCACUGGCCAGCCCAGCAACCCCUCUGCGCUGUCACCUCCUCGGCGGGGGACCUGGAGAGCCCAGCAGUCCUGCCAGGAACAGCGAUCUCUUUCAGGACAAAACUUAGAAGCCUGGAUGAAGUCUGGUUACAGCAGAACAAGGUAUGGUGAGGGGCUGGGCAUGAAAUGAAGAAUGCAGAGUCAGUUCCAACCUUCUGGAGCUUAUCAUCAGGGAAGACAGGCACAGAAGCAGAUGUGCACACGAGGUGGCGGCCUCGAAGCCGAAAAGGAGUCACAAAGGGCCAACAACCAAAAGAAGGUUUGAAAGGGAAAACAUCCACAUCAAGAAGGAGAUGAAGAGUCUGACGCGUCUCAGUGCCCCUCACCCCAGCCCACCCCCACUUUCUUUAAGCACCAGAAGCCAUCUCUUCCCUUUCCUUCACCAACUCUCCCUUGGGGCCGCUGUCCUCCCAACAGUGAAAAUAAAAUGUCAGACUGUGAAAGUAGACAACUGUU